UGUCAACUCCUAAACAAAGUCUUAUCCAUAUUGCUAUCAAAUCAUCUCUAUGCUCUUGCAAUACCAUCAUUCUGAUUUCUUUUAGUAAGAACACCUUCACUUUAUCACCUCUUCUAAAAUAACUAUGCAACUUAGAUCUGUUAAUAUGAGCUCAACGCAAUACCAUUGUUUCUUCUCUUUCAGUUAACUUGAGUUCUUUUGGAAUUUUUACCCCUUCUUUUUUCUAAUCUACAAAUCUUUCCAUUGAUUUAGAUCUAUUUUUAUGCCUACAAUCAACAAUCACUUUCUAUAGCAAUCCUCACCUUCUUUUUCUUAGAUUUUCUUAUUCAUUUUAUAAAACUAGAUCAUAAUUCCAUCUUUUAUGUAAUCGAGCCUAAAUUACUAAUCUAUCCAUCAAUUUCAACUUCCUA
RNAcentral lists this long non-coding RNA (410 nucleotides) under Physcomitrium patens. Its description in RNAcentral is "long non-coding RNA (PPAT_LNC002738)". Lineage: Eukaryota; Viridiplantae; Streptophyta; Bryopsida; Funariales; Funariaceae. The record is from RNAcentral.